CCUACGGGUGGCAGCAGUGAGGGAUAUUGCGCAAUGGGCGAAAGCCUGACGCAGCGACGCCGCGUGGAGGAUGAAGGCCUUCGGGUUGUAAACUCCUUUUGCAGGGGACGAUGAUGACGGUACCCUGCGAAUAAGCCACGGCUAACUCUGUGCCAGCAGCCGCGGUAAUACGGAGGGUGCGAGCGUUGCUCGGAAUCACUGGGCGUAAAGCGCGUGUAGGCGGUCAGGCAAGUCAGAUGUGAAAGCCCCUGGCUUAACCAGGGAAGUGCAUUUGAAACUGCUUGGCUGGAGUACGGGAGAGGAGAGUGGAAUUCCCGGUGUAGAGGUGAAAUUCGUAGAUAUCGGGAGGAACACCGGUGGCGAAGGCGGCUCUCUGGCCCGAUACUGACGCUGAGACGCGAAAGCGUGGGGAGCAAACAGGAUUAGAUACCCUUGUAGU
Molecule: ribosomal RNA, 439 nt
Filed under: uncultured delta proteobacterium
Lineage: Bacteria; Deltaproteobacteria
Description: partial 16S ribosomal RNA
Rfam family: Bacterial small subunit ribosomal RNA
Source: RNAcentral